RNAcentral lists this ribosomal RNA (1531 nucleotides) under human gut metagenome. RNAcentral's name for it is "bacterial LSU rRNA". It matches the Rfam family "Bacterial large subunit ribosomal RNA", at positions 826 to 2444 of the family's 2925-position model. The record is from RNAcentral.
AUUCCAAUCGAACUCGGAGAUAGCUGGUUCUCCCCGAAAUAGCUUUAGGGCUAGCGUUGUGUUAGUUUACCGGAGGUAGAGCACUGAAUUGGCUAAGGGGCGAUGAGCUUACUGAACCUUAUCAAACUUCGAAUGCCGGAUAAAUGGUGCACAGCAGUCAGACAGUGUGAGAUAAGUUUCAUUGUCAAGAGGGAAACAGCCCAGACCCACAGCUAAGGUCCCAAAUGAACGCUAAGUGGAAAACGAUGUGGGGUUGCAAAAACAACCAGGAUGUUGGCUUAGAGGCAGCCACUCAUUAAAAGAGUGCGUAAUAGCUCACUGGUCGAGUGACCCUGCGCGGAAAAUAUAACGGGGCUAAGCGUCCAACCGAAGCUUGGGAUGUCUAAGGACAUGGUAGGGGAGCGUCGUGUAUAGGGAGAAGCAUGAGCGAGAGCACAUGUGGACAGUACACGAGUGAGAAUGCCGGAAUGAGUAGCGAGAAUUAUGUGGGAAUCAUAAUGGCCGAAAAUCUAAGGUUUCUUGGGGAAGGUUCGUCCGCCCAAGGUAAGUCGGGAGCUAAGCUCAGGCCGAGAGGCGUAGGCGAUGCACAUACGGUAGAAAUUCCGUAACCACCGAAACUUAAACAGAGGGACACUUCGAAAUAGCGGAACCCGGGCGUUGGUUGACCCGGGCGAAAGGGAGCGAAAAUAGAGUAGCGAAGUCCGCGAUGUUCGGAGGCGAGAAAAGCUCUGAGGUAUGCUAAGGUGCCCGUACCGCAAACCGACACAGGUAGAUGAGGAGAGAAUCCUAAGGCCAACGGGAGAAGGGUUGUUAAGGAACUCGGCAAAUUGACCCCGUAACUUCGGGAGAAGGGGUGCUGCAGCAAUGCAGCCGCAGAGAAUCGGCCCAAGCAACUGUUUACCAAAAACACAGGUUUGUGCUAAAUCGAAAGAUGACGUAUACGAGCUGACGCCUGCCCGGUGCUGGAAGGUUAAGAGGAGAUGUGCAAGCAUUGAAUCGAAGCCCCAGUGAACGGCGGCCGUAACUAUAACGGUCCUAAGGUAGCGAAAUUCCUUGUCAGGUAAGUUCUGACCCGCACGAAUGGCGUAAUGAUUUGGGCACUGUCUCAACAGCCCGCCCGGCGAAAUUGUAGUACUGGUGAAGAUGCCAGUUACCCGCAACUAGACGGAAAGACCCCAUGGAGCUUUACUGCAGCUUAAUACUGAAAUUCGGUAGUACAUGUACAGGAUAGGUGGGAGACUGAGAAAUACAGGCGUCAGCUUGUAUGGAGUCGCUGUUGGGAUACCACUCUUGUACUGCUGGGUUUCUAACCUGCGGCCGUGAAUCCGGUCGGGGGACACUGUUAGGCGGGCAGUUUGACUGGGGCGGUCGCCUCCCAAAAGGUAACGGAGGCGCUCAAAGGUUCGUUCAGCACGGACGGAAAUCGUGCAAUGAGUGUAAACGCAUAAACGAGCCUAACUGCGACACCGACGGGUGGAGCAGUAACGAAAGUUGGAGUUAGUGAUCCGGUGGUAUGUGAGUGGAAAUGCCA